GCGGCUUAAGCGAGAACCGGUCGAAGAUACCAGGUGGCUGCAACUGUUUAGUAAAAACACAGCACUCUGCUAACGCGUAAGCGGACGUAUAGGGUGUGACGCCUGCCCGGUGCCGGAAGGUUAAGUGAUGGUGUUAGGCUCCGGCCGAAGCUCUUGAUCGAAGCCCCGGUAAACGGCGGCCGUAACUAUAACGGUCCUAAGGUAGCGAAAUUCCUUGUCGGGUAAGUUCCGACCUGCACGAAUGGCGUAAUGAUGGCCACGCUGUCUCCACCCGAGACUCAGUGAAAUUGAAAUCGCCGUGAAGAUGCGGUGUACCCGCGGCUAGACGGAAAGACCCCGUGAACCUUUACUAUAGCUUCACACUGGACGCUGAUGUUGCCUGUGUAGGAUAGCUGGGAGGCUUGGAAACCCGGACGCCAGUUCGGGUGGAGCCACCCUUGAAAUACCAGCCUGGCAUCAUUGGCGUUCUCACUCAGGUCCGUUAUCCGGAUCGAGGACAGUGUGUGGUGGGUAGUUUGACUGGGGCGGUCUCCUCCCAAAGCGUAACGGAGGAGCACGAAGGUACCCUCAGCACGGUCGGACAUCGUGCAAUGAGUGCAAGAGCAUAAGGGUGCUUGACUGCGAGACAGACACGUCGAGCAGGUGCGAAAGCAGGUUCUAGUGAUCCGGUGGUUCUGUAUGGAAGGGCCAUCGCUCAACGGAUAAAAGGUACUCCGGGGAUAACAGGCUGAUACCGCCCAAGAGUUCACAUCGACGGCGGUGUUUGGCACCUCGAUGUCGGCUCAUCACAUCCUGGGGCUGAAGUCGGUCCCAAGGGUAUGGCUGUUCGCCAUUUAAAGUGGUACGCGAGCUGGGUUUAGAACGUCGUGAGACAGUUCGGUCCCUAUCUGCCGUGGGCGUUGGAUGUUUGAGAAGGGCUGCUCCUAGUACGAGAGGACCGGAGUGGACGCACCUCUGGUGUUCCGGUUGUCACGCCAGUGGCAUUGCCGGGUAGCUAUGUGCGGACGGGAUAACCGCUGAAAGCAUCUAAGCGGGAAGCCCCCUUCAAGAUGAGACAUCCCUGAGGCCGAGAGCCUCCUGAAGGGCCCAGCGAGACCAGCUGGUUGAUAGGCACGGUGUGGACGCGCUGCAAGGCGUUGAGCUAACGUGUACUAAUGGCCCGUGAGGCUUGACCCUA
This 1177-nucleotide ribosomal RNA is filed under the name Vreelandella subterranea. Its description in RNAcentral is "bacterial LSU rRNA". It matches the Rfam family "Bacterial large subunit ribosomal RNA", at positions 1757 to 2925 of the family's 2925-position model. Lineage: Bacteria; Pseudomonadati; Pseudomonadota; Gammaproteobacteria; Oceanospirillales; Halomonadaceae. The record is from RNAcentral.